UACGGAGGGUGCGAGCGUUGUCCGGAAUCAUUGGGCGUAAAGGGCGCGUAGGUGGCGGGACAAGCGUGCGGUGAAAGCUCGGGGCUCAACCCCGCGUCGGCCGUGCGAACUGUUUUGCUUGAGCACUGUAGAGGCAGGCGGAAUUCCGGGUGUAGCGGUGGAAUGCGUAGAGAGUCCGGAAGAACACCGGUGGCGAAGGCGGCCUGCUGGGCAGUAGCUGACACUGAGGCGCGACAGCGUGGGGAGCAAACAGG
RNAcentral lists this ribosomal RNA (254 nucleotides) under uncultured bacterium. RNAcentral describes it as "partial 16S ribosomal RNA". It matches the Rfam family "Bacterial small subunit ribosomal RNA", at positions 524 to 776 of the family's 1533-position model. The record is from RNAcentral.